GUCGCUGAAGCGCUGCAUGUUCAUUCGGAAUUCGAGUCCUGUGCGAGCGGUCCAGCGUCUUUCUGACGGGCACGGCGAUUUCUGAGGAGCUACUAGACCAGACGGGGGUAACGAUACCUCAUGCAACAGCCAAGACAAAAAAAAAGACAUUUCAGAGGGAAGACAGAGAGAAUUCAGCGGCUUUAAAAGAGUGUGCGCCAUUUCCAGGCAUCGGGCUUCGACGAGGCCAAACCAAUUACAGCACUCCGAGGAGACCCCUGCACACGGCAUGCUUGGAUGUGAAGCUGUGCCACUGUAUCAAGAUGGUGGCUGCCCUGCCCAACUCGAGGCUUAGCAUCGGAAUUCCACUGGCCUUCCCGACCGGCAGUCUCCACGGUAUCAACCCGAGGGCAAUUACUUUGAUUGGUUAAGCCCGGAGCAACAGCACCUAUAGAUAUAUACCCAUACAUGCGUGUACUUAUAUGAAACUUUGCAGGGUGCCUCAGGCCGAAGCCAUGCGGGUUGUAGAGGCUCGAUUUCCCACAAAUCUUUGGAGUAAGGGCUGCUUGCAUCAUCCACGCCAGACAUCAAACGGAAUAUAGAGCCUGGUGAGAGGCCGGCACAGAAGCGCAACCCUAAAACGGGUGGUCAUUUCGAUUUUUGGAAACACUGCUCCUCAACGUGUUCUCAUGCAUAGAGGACUCGACACGACAUAUUGGUAUUAAAGAGACAACCUUUUUUUCUGGAAGUCCAAAACAGCCCUUCCGAAACCCUCCGCUAAACUUCACCA
Molecule: long non-coding RNA, 769 nt
Organism: Sardina pilchardus (European sardine)
Lineage: Eukaryota; Metazoa; Chordata; Actinopteri; Clupeiformes; Clupeidae
Exons: 3
Source: RefSeq, a predicted model, not a curated record